Molecule: ribosomal RNA, 443 nt
Filed under: uncultured Prevotella sp.
Lineage: Bacteria; Pseudomonadati; Bacteroidota; Bacteroidia; Bacteroidales; Prevotellaceae
Description: bacterial SSU rRNA
Rfam family: Bacterial small subunit ribosomal RNA
Source: RNAcentral
UGAGGAAUAUUGGGUCAAUGGGCGAGAGCCUGAACCAGCCAAGUAGCGUGCAGGAUGACGGCCCUAUGGGUUGUAAACUGCUUUUAUAAGGGAAUAAAGUGAGAGUCGUGACUCUUUUUGUAUGUACCUUAUGAAUAAGGACCGGCUAAUUCCGUGCCAGCAGCCGCGGUAAUACGGAAGGUCCGGGCGUUAUCCGGAUUUAUUGGGUUUAAAGGGAGCGUAGGCCGGAGAUUAAGCGUGUUGUGAAAUGUAGACGCUCAACGUCUGCACUGCAGCGCGAACUGGUUUCCUUGAGUACGCACAAAGUGGGCGGAAUUCGUGGUGUAGCGGUGAAAUGCUUAGAUAUCACGAAGAACUCCGAUUGCGAAGGCAGCUCACUGGAGCGCAACUGACGCUGAAGCUCGAAAGUGCGGGUAUCGAACAGGAUUAGAUACCCUGGUAGU